GAGGGGAUAGCUCAAGUGGUAGAGCAUAUGCUUAGCACACAUGGGUUCCUGGGUUCAAUCCCCAGUCUCUCCU
RNAcentral lists this transfer RNA (73 nucleotides) under Camelus bactrianus (Bactrian camel). It matches the Rfam family "tRNA". Rfam says of the family: Transfer RNA (tRNA) molecules are approximately 80 nucleotides in length. Lineage: Eukaryota; Metazoa; Chordata; Mammalia; Artiodactyla; Camelidae. The record is from Rfam by way of RNAcentral. RNAcentral also lists the same sequence under 2 other names.